UCUUUUUUGUUAAAAAUAUAAAGUCUAGCCUGCCCAAUGAUAUAUUUAAUGGCCGCGGUAUUUUGACCGUGCUAAGGUAGCAUAAUCAUUAGUUUUUUUAUUGAAAGCUGGAAUGAAGGGUUGGAUGAAAAAAUAGCUGUCUUUAUUUAAUUAUAAUAGAAUUUUAUUUUUAAGUUAAAAAGCUUAAAUUUUUUUAAAAGACGAGAAGACCCUAUAGAGUUUUAUAUUUAGUAUAAAAUAUUUUUUUGGAAAUAAUUUUUUAUUUUUAUUUAAUUAUUUAGUUGGGGUGAUUAAAAAAUUUAUUAAACUUUUUUAUAUAAUUAUAUUUAUGUAUAGUUUGUUGAUCCAGUAUUAUUGAUUAAAAGAAAAAAUUACCUUAGGGAUAACAGCGUAAUUUUAUUGGAGAGUUCAAAUCGAUAAUAAAGAUUGCGACCUCGAUGUUGGAUUAAAA
Molecule: ribosomal RNA, 451 nt
Filed under: Macrima sp. BMNH 835074
Lineage: Eukaryota; Metazoa; Arthropoda; Insecta; Coleoptera; Chrysomelidae
Description: partial 16S ribosomal RNA
Source: RNAcentral